Molecule: non-coding RNA, 69 nt
Organism: Rattus norvegicus (Norway rat)
Lineage: Eukaryota; Metazoa; Chordata; Mammalia; Rodentia; Muridae
Source: Rfam
GGGGAUUUAGCUCAGUGGUAGAGCGCUUGCCUAGCAAUUGCAAGGCCCUGGGUUCGGUCCCCAGCUCCG